Jaculus jaculus (lesser Egyptian jerboa) is the source of this 513-nucleotide long non-coding RNA. RefSeq lists it as uncharacterized. The record is from RefSeq and is a predicted model, not a curated record. The transcript is spliced from 5 exons. NCBI's taxonomy places the organism in Eukaryota, Metazoa, Chordata, Mammalia, Rodentia, Dipodidae.
GGAGAAGAAGGGACAUGAGGAGUAUGUCCAUAGGAGGAAAAGAGGCUGAGGAAGGGCUUUGAGAAGGUGACCUGGAGCUGAGAGUGAUCACAGAGGGGACCUUCUUGUCAAUGAGCCAUGGUUUCAAAGCUGCCUAUUGUCUCACAGCUCACCCAGCCUUAGAUGUAUAUAACUGCCAUCCCGUGAUCAGCUUGAAGAUGAAGUUGAUGCAAAGGAUACUAGAAUAAAACAAGCUGGAAGGGUUAGGGAGCUGGUCAGAGAUGGACAUGAAAUGCAGUAGGAGAAAGGUGUAACAAGUCAGAACCCGAGAUGGCUUACUCCUGCUUACUCCCUUCAUUCAGAGGCUUUCAUAGUCCUACCUUCCCAGAGACAAAUAUCCCUUGCUUCACAAUCUCAUCUGCUGCAUGCUGCUGCUUUUAGGCAGCACCCACAUUUGUGAUAAGUCUUUUCAAGAAUGACAGUAUCUGAUGAGCAUGUUGAGAUCUCAAUGAGCCUUGCAACUACUUCCAUCAG